This is a long non-coding RNA of Bufo bufo (common toad), 161 nucleotides long. RefSeq lists it as uncharacterized. The transcript has 3 exons. NCBI's taxonomy places the organism in Eukaryota, Metazoa, Chordata, Amphibia, Anura, Bufonidae. The record is from RefSeq and is a predicted model, not a curated record.
AAUUUUGCCAUGUGCAGGGCCGGCUCCAGGUUCAUGUGGGCCCUUGGGCGAUAAAUCCCAGUGGGCCCCCUUGAGGCAUUUUUGUACAUUUACAUGUCCCUCUGUGGCUCCCACAUGGUAUAAUGACCACCAGUGACCACUAUACAGUAUAAUGACCACUA